GACAGCUCAUGCGUGUAUGCUGGUGUCUCUCUGUGUGGCGCGUGCGUCAGUGUUUGCACUAAAACUCUCCCUCUUCAGUGUCGCGCCACCGUUCAUCGUCGGCCCCCAGAAAACCUAGCCGCGCACACACCGAUAUACCGACAAACCCACAGGCGCACAUAAACACAGAAACGACUUUGCAGCCGCAGCAUCGCGUUUGCACAUCAACAGCGAGAGAGAGUCGACGCGGUAGUGCAAGUGAGGAAAAGACGACACAGCCACACGCGGAACCACCCCUUCCCGAGGCAAACGCUCCAGUGCGUGCCAGUGUGUGGAGAUCAGCGCCCGUGUAUGCGACCGGCGCUCUCUCAAGGGCGUCUUACCUCCACCCCACGCGCACUCGCUCCUCGUGCACAACUCCACCUCCGCGCUCUCUCUACGGCCGCACUGGUGGGACAGGCACCGCAACCUACUUUGCUUUAUUCGCCCCUUGAAUGAACCCGCAGGACCUCCCAUCGGUCUACCGCGGGGAGCCGCUGCCGCCACAGGCGCAGACCGUCGUGACCCUGCCAUCGCCCUUUUCCUGUGUUUCGCGCAAGAGCGGGCGACGAGGGGAAGAGACGAUGGCCUUGGAGAUGGCGUCGGAGAGCGUCGCUGGACACGCUGCGACGCGUUCGUUGCAACCGCCGCCGCUCACUCAGCUCGACGGUACAACCAGCGGUGCAAGCGCUGCCUCAGCAUCGCUGUCGCCGGUGACGCUGCAUGUAAACUGGAAUCGAUGGGGUGCAUCUCUGCCGCCGAUAGGCUACACCGUGUCCCAGCGAAAUCUCGGCGAGCAACCAGCCGGCGACGGCGGCCAACGAAGCAGGGAGCAAGCAUCACAUGAGCACGGCGGAGGGGACGCCGUGGCGGGGCAGGGCCGACUGUCGGUCACCGCUCCGCUGCCCGAGUCCGCUCACCGAGGGAAGCGGCGCCGCACGGAGCACACCAGCUUCACCUCGCUCUUGAAGGAGGUGUUCAUGUAUCUUGACAGCGUCUCCUCGACACAGCAGCAGCCCGAUCACGGAUACAUUAGCGGUAAUGCAGAGGAGGACGAGGAGGGCAGCCUCCAGCAGACCACCACCGUUCCGUCGUACACCACCGCUUCACGCUACACUUCGGCGAGUCCUGCCAUGCCCCACGGCGCCCGGGCUCGCAGCGACGAUAGCAGCGGCCCCGUCGCUGCGGCACCGGCGCCGCUGAUGUCUGUUGAUUUGGCAGUUCGAGACACGGUGCGCGUGCUGCAGCAGUGCUGGGAGUACCGCGGCUCCCCACACGACGCCUUUGAGCCGGUUCGCCUGCUCUCCCCCAUCACGGUUCAUCUUCUUCUCACCUACGGCCACCACAUCGUCACGCACGACGGCCAGUACAUGGUGCUGCGCGGUGGUGCGGAGCACCUGCCUUGGGUUGGCUGCCUCUACAGUAUCCUGCUCACCUACGUCUACCGCCACCGUGUCGCCCCAGCGACCAAGGCGGCUGCUGACAAUCGCGAACGGGGUGGCAGCGUGGCACCGGCGUUGGACUGCGUCUCGCGCCUCCUCCUCCUGAAUUGCCACAGCUUCGGCUGGCUGAACCACACCGGCCCCGGCGAGUACGAGUGUAGCCAUCGAAGGCUUUGCCAGGCUCGAGAGGCCCUUCUCGCGCUCCUCGAAGAUCCGCGGUACGCGGCUCUCGGUCGCCCUGCGGGGUGUCCUCUCUGCGCCGCGUCCAUGGUGGGCAGUAAUGCCUCGACGCUGAUACUGCUAGGCGACACAAUCGUGAUGGAGGGAGGCGUCCCAUCGCUAGGGCUGGCGCAUCCGCGCGACACGUUCACGGCGCACUACCAGUACGGCCGCGGCAUCGCUUGCUGCGUGCCCGAGAAGGGCGGUGGCUUUCAGCUGGACGUCACUGGUGCGCCUGUGGUGGCGGGACGCGGCGCGUAUGCGCCGACCUCAGGCACGGGACUAUGCGCUGCCCACCACGAGCCGCCGCGGCCAGCAGCAAUGCAGUCCAGUUGCGAGCGGCACCGGCAUCUACGUGAACAGCAUCCCGCAACGCCAGUAGGUGGCUGCCUGGUGGAGGAGGACUCUCCCACUUUGGUGCGUCCUGGCGGCCACGACCACGAUGGGCUGUGGCCCGGUGUGCGCUCCUCCUCGUUGUGGCUGAGCGGCACAGGCGCCGCCCCCUGUCGGCUGCCGCCGGUGUGCUGCGGCGUUUGUCGAGCUGCGGGGGUACUGGGCCAGGCAGUGCUGUUGGGCCCUACAGGGCCUCUCGUGAUCCACCUGCAGUUUGACGAGCGUGAAUGGUUCGACAUGAGCGCCCGAGCGGUGCCAGCAGCCACGACCCACGGCUGGCUAUCCGCCGCCGCCGCUGAGACUACGGCGGUGUGCCCGCCGCCAUCGUCGCACUUGGCAUCCCAGUACGCUUCCCAUCCAGCCAGCGCUCUGGCAGCGGCCUUGUACGCUGUCUUGGAAGGCGAGAGCACCGUUGGCCUCACCGUGCAGCACUACCACGCUUCUCUCGGAGAUCACCGCAACAGCUCACCACGCGUUGGCGACUCUGUCUCACUCGCCGAGUUUGUCGAGUGGCUGGUGUGGCUCCUGAACGCCCCGCCACCGGCCCUGGUUGUGGAGUGGCACCCCUCCACUUCUACCUCAGCUAUCACCACCACCUGCAUCACUCGCAGGUGCGGCGGGGUUACACCGAGCUCGUCGCGUGAUUCGGGAGUUGCCAGUGGUUCGCAAGCGUCGCUCUCGUCGCCCUGCUCCCCCAUGGCACAUCCGCACUCACCGCUGGCCCCAUCUCGAUCCUCGGCUACCGCGUUUCCGAAUCUCGUGGACUUGUGCGCCGCCACGGGCGGCUUGAACUCAUCUUUCAAGGUGACCCGCGCCUACGGCAGCGACGAGGGCCACGCAACUGCCUCGCUGUCCACGGACCACCAGCAACACGGCGGCUACCUGAACAGUCCCUCCGCAUCGCACGGGGACACCACCACCUUCGCUCCGUUAGGCAUGUUGGCCCAGCCCCGGCGCUCCACCGUGAUGCAGCUGCUUGAGACGUACAGCGACGUGGUGCAGAGCCGCGCGGCCAUGCCUGCUCCCCCUGCUGCCACCUCGUCGGCCCCCUCCGUUGGCAGGGCGCGCACUCUUCCAUUCACUGCCGCCAACGGCACGAGUGGGCACAUCGCCGAGGCGAUGAAGCCGCACCUGCUACUGGACUGGCUGCUGACGGCGCAGGAGUCAUUGCGACCCUGCGAAGCCACAUCCCUCUUCGACGGGGUGGAGCGGCCACUGGUGCUGGCGAAGGAGCUCGAUGUGGCGGCCGAGGCGGAGCAGUUACUGAACGCGAGUUCUGUGGCGACCUCACUGCAGUUUCGUCCUCGCACCCUACGCCUGUGAGACAAGGCGGCGUUGAUGGCGACCUGCGUGUUGGCGAAGCCCCCACCUCCUUUUAUCCCCGACUUGGGUCCUUCUCGCACCCCUCGCAGCUUC
RNAcentral lists this unclassified non-coding RNA (3488 nucleotides) under Leishmania donovani. RNAcentral describes it as "gene:LdHU3.20.1830(CDS-product:hypothetical_prote in_conserved)". The record is from RNAcentral. Lineage: Eukaryota; Euglenozoa; Kinetoplastea; Trypanosomatida; Trypanosomatidae.